This 596-nucleotide ribosomal RNA is filed under the name uncultured bacterium. RNAcentral's name for it is "bacterial SSU rRNA". It matches the Rfam family "Bacterial small subunit ribosomal RNA", at positions 202 to 796 of the family's 1533-position model. The record is from RNAcentral.
GCAAGAUCUUCGGCGGUGACGGAUGGGCGUGCGGUUGAUUAGGUAGUUGGCGGGGUAACGGCCCACCAAGCCUACGAUCAAUAGCUGAUGUGAGAGCAUGAUCAGCCACACGGGCACUGAGACACGGGCCCGACUCCUACGGGAGGCAGCAGUAAGGAAUAUUGGGCAAUGGACGAAAGUCUGACCCAGCCAUGCCGCGUGAAGGAUUAAGGUCCUCUGGAUUGUAAACUUCUUUUCUCUGGGGCGAAAACCACCCUUUCUAGGGUAUUUGACAGUACCAGAGGAAUAAGCACCGGCUAACUCCGUGCCAGCAGCCGCGGUAAUACGGAGGGUGCAAGCGUUAUCCGGAUUCACUGGGUUUAAAGGGUGCGUAGGUGGGUCUGUAAGUCAGUGGUGAAAUCCCCGAGCUUAACUUGGGAACUGCCGUUGAUACUAUAGAUCUUGAAUAUCGUGGAGGUAAGCGGAAUAUGUCAUGUAGCGGUGAAAUGCUUAGAUAUGACAUAGAACACCAAUUGCGAAGGCAGCUUACUACACGAUCAUUGACACUGAGGCACGAAAGCGUGGGGAGCAAACAGGAUUAGAUACCUUGGUAGUCC